Molecule: ribosomal RNA, 468 nt
Filed under: uncultured bacterium
Lineage: Bacteria
Description: partial 16S ribosomal RNA
Rfam family: Bacterial small subunit ribosomal RNA
Source: RNAcentral
GACGAACGCUGGCGGCGUGCUUAACACAUGCAAGUCGAACGGAAAGGCCCUGCUUUUGUGGGGUGCUCGAGUGGCGAACGGGUGUGUAACACGUGAGUAACCUGCCCUUGACUUUGGGAUAACUUCAGGAAACUGGGGCUAAUACCGGAUAGGAGCUCCUGCUGCAUGGUGGGGGUUGGAAAGUUUCGGCGGUUGGGGAGGGACUCGCGGCUUAUCAGCUUGUUGGUGGGGUAGUGGCUUACCAAGGCUUUGACGGGUAGCCGGCCUGAGAGGGUGACCGGCCACAUUGGGACUGAGAUACGGCCCAGACUCCUACGGGAGGCAGCAGUGGGGAAUAUUGCACAAUGGGCGGAAGCCUGAUGCAGCAACGCCGCGUGCGGGAUGACGGCCUUCGGGUUGUAAACCGCUUUCGCCUGUGACGAAGCGUGAGUGACGGUAAUGGGUAAAGAAGCACCGGCUAACUACGUG